CCUACGGGUGGCAGCAGUAGGGAAUCUUCCACAAUGGACGAAAGUCUGAUGGAGCAACGCCGCGUGAGUGAAGAAGGGUUUCGGCUCGUAAAGCUCUGUUGGUAGUGAAGAAAGAUAGAGGUAGUAACUGGCCAUUAUUUGACGGUAAUUACUUAGAAAGUCACGGAUAACUACGUGCCAGGAGCCGAGGUAAUACGUAGGUGGGAAGCGUUGUCCGGAUUGAUUGGGCGUAAAGCGAGUGAGGGCGGUUCAAUAAGUCUGAUGUUAAAGCCCUCGGCUCAACCGGAGAAUUGCAUCAGAAACUGUUGAACUUGAGUUCAGAAGAGGAGAGUGGAACGCCAUGUGUAGCGGUGGAAUGCGUAGAUAUAUGGAAGAACUCCAGUGGCGAAGGCGGCUCUCUGGUCUGCAACUGACGCUGAGGCUCGAAAGCAUGGGUAGCGAACAGGAUUAGAUACCCGAGUAGUC
This 465-nucleotide ribosomal RNA is filed under the name uncultured bacterium. Its description in RNAcentral is "partial 16S ribosomal RNA". It matches the Rfam family "Bacterial small subunit ribosomal RNA", at positions 338 to 795 of the family's 1533-position model. The record is from RNAcentral.